AUUAGUGUAGCAUAGUGGUUUGAGUGUUGGACUACAAUUCUGGAGACUAGGGUUCGAUUCCCAGUUCAGCCA
This is a non-coding RNA of Phrynosoma platyrhinos (Desert horned lizard), 72 nucleotides long. Lineage: Eukaryota; Metazoa; Chordata; Lepidosauria; Squamata; Phrynosomatidae. The record is from the annotation of a GenBank genome assembly.